Transfer RNA from Babjeviella inositovora NRRL Y-12698, 103 nucleotides. It matches the Rfam family "tRNA". Rfam says of the family: Transfer RNA (tRNA) molecules are approximately 80 nucleotides in length. Their secondary structure includes four short double-helical elements and three loops (D, anti-codon, and T loops). Further hydrogen bonds mediate the characteristic L-shaped molecular structure. tRNAs have two regions of fundamental functional importance: the anti-codon, which is responsible for specific mRNA codon recognition, and the 3' end, to which the tRNAs corresponding amino acid is attached (by aminoacyl-tRNA synthetases). tRNAs cope with the degeneracy of the genetic code in two manners: having more than one tRNA (with a specific anti-codon) for a particular amino acid; and 'wobble' base-pairing, i.e. permitting non-standard base-pairing at the 3rd anti-codon position. The record is from Rfam. NCBI's taxonomy places the organism in Eukaryota, Fungi, Ascomycota, Pichiomycetes, Serinales.
GGUCUAGUGGUAUAACGGUUAUUACGUUUCGUUUACAUUCUAGCGGCUGUUAUCAACCGUGUAUGUGCCGAAAAGGCUCCGAGUUCGAUUCUCGGCUGGAUCA